GGUUGGAUCAGUGGUAGUGUGAUGGGACAGCCCUGUGAGUGUGAGGUUGGAUCAGUGGUAGUGUGAUGGGACAGCCCUGUGAGUGUGAGGUUGGAUCAGUGGUAGUGUGAUGGAACAGCCCUGUGAGUGUGAGGUUGGAUCAGUGGUAGUGUGAUGGGACAGCCCUGUGAGUGUGAGGUUGGAUCAGUGGUAGUGUGAUGGAACAGCCCUGUGUGUUCCUGCUGGUCUCGUCCAUGUGACUCUCUCUUCCUCUGGGCACAGCGCAGCCCCAAAACCCCUUCUCCUUAUGUCUGGAUGAGACAGCCCUCCACCACCUGCUGGAGUAGCAUUACUAAGACCACUGUCCUUAUACACAAAACAUUAAGGAUACCAUCC
This is a long non-coding RNA of Oncorhynchus tshawytscha (Chinook salmon), 375 nucleotides long. The record is from Ensembl. Lineage: Eukaryota; Metazoa; Chordata; Actinopteri; Salmoniformes; Salmonidae.